GACGAACGCUGGCGGCGUGCUUAACACAUGCAAGUCGAACGGAAAGGCCCUGCUUUUGUGGGGUGCUCGAGUGGCGAACGGGUGAGUAACACGUGAGUAACCUGCCCUUGACUUUGGGAUAACUUCAGGAAACUGGGGCUAAUACCGGAUAGGAGCUCCUGCUGCAUGGUGGGGGUUGGAAAGUUUCGGCGGUUGGGGAUGGACUCGCGGCUUAUCAGCUUGUUGGUGGGGUAGUGGCUUACCAAGGCUUUGACGGGUAGCCGGCCUGAGAGGGUGACCGGCCACAUUGGUACUGAGAUACGGCCCAGACUCCUACGGGAGGCAGCAGUGGGGAAUAUUGCACAAUGGGCGGACGCCUGAUGCAGAAACGCCGCGUGCGGGAUGACCGCCUUCGGGUUGUAAACCGCUUUAGCCUGUGACGAAGCGUGAGUGACGGUAAUGGGUAAAGAAGCACCGGCUAACUACGUG
RNAcentral lists this ribosomal RNA (468 nucleotides) under uncultured bacterium. Its description in RNAcentral is "partial 16S ribosomal RNA". It matches the Rfam family "Bacterial small subunit ribosomal RNA", at positions 28 to 507 of the family's 1533-position model. The record is from RNAcentral.